GUUUCUAUAGUUGAAUAACAACGAUGAUUUUUCAUGUCAUUGGUCAUAGUUUAAAUCUAUGUAGAAAUU
This 69-nucleotide transfer RNA is filed under the name Microtus longicaudus (long-tailed vole). Its description in RNAcentral is "tRNA-Glu". It matches the Rfam family "tRNA". Rfam says of the family: Transfer RNA (tRNA) molecules are approximately 80 nucleotides in length. The record is from RNAcentral. Lineage: Eukaryota; Metazoa; Chordata; Mammalia; Rodentia; Cricetidae.